GGCCCGUCUCUUGCUCCACCCCCUCCACAGGUAGCCAACGGCGGUUGCCCGACUGAACGACAAAGGCGUCGC
Molecule: non-coding RNA, 72 nt
Filed under: Aquipseudomonas alcaligenes OT 69
Lineage: Bacteria; Pseudomonadati; Pseudomonadota; Gammaproteobacteria; Pseudomonadales; Pseudomonadaceae
Description: narK RNA
Rfam family: narK RNA
Source: RNAcentral